GCUGCCUGACCACCAUGGGAGCAGAAGGUCAGGCCUGGCUUGGGGAAGCACCUUCAGGUUCUGGUCUAAUUACUUGCUCCUUUGACUUCUGCAAAAGAAUGGAAGUAUUUUUUUGAGAUGUGGCAGGUUCAGAGAGAAAUCAUAGUGUGCUGGGGAGUUUAAGUGGGGCAUGGCUUAUUUAAUUCUCUUGUCUCCACAUAGCAGCUGGGCUUUUUAUUCCAACUAAUUUAGGUAGGAAGCUUGUUUUUAUUUCAUUAACUUGCAGCGUGAAUGUCACCAACCACAGCUGAUAACAGUGACCGCUGCCAGAAAGUCACCAACACAUUUAUGUUUGUGGAUUCACGGUACUCCUUAUUAUGCCUGUAAAACACAUAGCAGUGAAUCUACACUAUUUAUUCUAGAACAGGAACUACCUAAUGCUCAACUGUGUUAAAAAUGCAAAAGUGAAAGAAACCUGAUCUUGCCUCCAUCUCUCCAACAGCUGCCAUCACUGGGGAAGAACCAACUUCAGAGCCUGUGACAGUGUUUUCUGAUGAGCUAUUGGCACAUUAGAGACCUACACGUUCACCUGGAGAGGAGCACACCUGUUCUGUCAGCCCCUGUGCAUGGUAAACACAUGAAUGUUGAUUCUCUGCCCAUGAGAUAAACCUUCAUUGUGACAGUAAUGGAUGCUGCUUGCAAACAGGAAACGAGGUUAAGAGCUGACACCUGAAACCAGACUCAGCACCUUGGACUUAGUCCUUGAAAUAAACUCAAAUGGCUAAUAGUAACUCAAGAAGCUCAUGUUUGAGAACUUAGUGGGGAACUCUGCAUACCGAAGCAGCUUUCACAGAUCAAGACUCUAAAGAAACUCUGGCUAAACUAGAACACCAGCUACAAGGGAAAGGUGCAGUGUCCCAUUACUUGGUGUCUUUGUGAAGAACAUGUGCAUUGGUUCCUAACCUGAUUUCAUGAUCCCUGAAAUGUGGACAUACACAGUCCAGCACAGUGGAAUAUUCAUUAAUAAAACAGGUAAGGCUAAUGCUCUUCCAUGCCUAGGGGGUGUAACACAUAUGGUAUUUUAAAAAAUCCAUGGUCAAUGGCCAGCCCUCAGCCAAAUAAGUAACUGGGAGGACCAUGCUGAUCUGGAUUCCAAAGAGUGGUGUGUCACUAUUGUAAAGCCUCCCAAGCCAUUGCUCCAGUUCUGUGAGUCCUGCAUGGGAAGAUUCAACCACACAGCUGUGAAUGGAAGAGGCAGAACUGAAACAUGGCCCAGAUUGUGAAAAACACUGAAAACCCCUGACUUUGUAAAUCAAUAUCAAUCAAUGCCCUGCAAAGUACAUCAUAAAUCUGGAUGUUCAAGAGAGCUAACCCUGAGCUGGGCAAGAUUGGUUUCAUGGCCGGAGGUCCAGACCUCCAGUUUCCCAAGAAGAAAGCAGGUCUCUAACUGCAGCACUUCCUUUCUCCCAAGAAGAAGUGAAUUACUUUGUUGCAGACACCCUGCUGGCUGCUGCACUUCCUAAGGCGAAGUCCUGUCUUCAGAAAUGGGGUACUCCGAAUGUCACUGUACAGCAGCACGUCACAUUGAAGUCAUUCCAACACUACAGCCCUCACCUUUGCUUUAUGGUUUUAUUCAUGGUGAUGGAAACACUUAUUCCCACAA
Molecule: long non-coding RNA, 1642 nt
Organism: Catharus ustulatus (Swainson's thrush)
Lineage: Eukaryota; Metazoa; Chordata; Aves; Passeriformes; Turdidae
Exons: 9
Source: RefSeq, a predicted model, not a curated record